UACGUAGGGUGCGAGCGUUGUCCGGAAUUAUUGGGCGUAAAGAGCUCGUAGGCGGUCUGUCGCGUCGAUCGUGAAAACUUGGGGCUUAACCCUGAGCUUGCGGUCGAUACGGGCAUGACUGGAGUUCGGCAGGGGAGACUGGAAUUCCUGGUGUAGCGGUGAAAUGCGCAGAUAUCAGGAGGAACACCUGAGGUGAAGACGGGUUGCUGGGCCAACACUGACGCUGAGGCGCGAAAGCCAGGGGAGCGAACGGG
This 254-nucleotide ribosomal RNA is filed under the name uncultured bacterium. RNAcentral describes it as "partial 16S ribosomal RNA". It matches the Rfam family "Bacterial small subunit ribosomal RNA", at positions 524 to 776 of the family's 1533-position model. The record is from RNAcentral.